RNAcentral lists this long non-coding RNA (1604 nucleotides) under Anser brachyrhynchus (Pink-footed goose). RNAcentral's name for it is "lncRNA (ENSABRG00000004643.1)". The record is from RNAcentral. Lineage: Eukaryota; Metazoa; Chordata; Aves; Anseriformes; Anatidae.
GAAAGCUAGAGAGAAGGGAGUAAUUCUGCUUUCCUCUCUCUCCCAGUGGUUAUAGUGGUUGUCAGAGCACAACUUUUCAGGAACCUGAGUCUCCCUUCUCCAGUUUUAUAACUGGAUUCUGAAGCAUGGUGAGGAAAUAUUCUCACCCAUUCUUACAGAAGCUAUUCUAGUUCAUGUUAAACAAAUGAUUGACCUUUGAGCAAAAGCAAGGAUGACUUGUGUCCUCAUAGCUGAGUCUAUGAUGCAUCAUAUCCCCGAGGACUGCAGUAAUAGUAAUGGAGAAGGAAACAGACGAAAAUAUAAUGACAGACAUUGUCAGUGGCAACAGCUCUGUGGAGGUGAACCUCCAUCCAGUGUCAUCUCGGGCUUCUCAGCUGGGUUCUGCAGUCACAAAAUUGAGUGUGAGAGGACGCAGGUAAUGGCUUUCCAUCAUUGUGUCUUCCUGGGGCUGCUCCGUGUCCCUGGGCACUGUGAGCCAGGCAGUUUGCUGCUCUCCUCUGCUCCUGAGCGCUUGGAGCUGGCUCAUGGGGACGAACAGUCCAAACAACUGCGGGUGCCUUUGGAUGAAACCAACUGUGACUGCCUCUUUCUAUCUGGUAUUUGACAGCCUGAAGUUUUGCCAGAAGCUAUAAAGAAAUUAUUUGUCUAAAGCUAGUGGCUUGAAGUUUGGCUUUUAACUCUGCAUUUAGCUACCUCUUUAAAUACCCUGAUAUUAAAAAAAAGAUGCUCACACUGAAGCUCAAUACUUAUGAAAAUUAUAUUUCUCCCAACCACAUCUACAUAGCACUUAUCACAGUGCAGCCUGGGUUCAGGACUUAAAAAUGUGCCUGGUGUAGAUAUAGAUUGUAAUGAAGUACUAAAUGACUGCAGACAACAUCUGGAGAUAAAACCCCUGCCUCACUUAUUGCUGGCAGAACAGAAAUCAUAUUGUACCUCAGGAGCAGAAAUUGUCAAAGAUCUUUUGGAGUUUCACCUUGCAGCUGGGUAGACUGGUGGAAAAUUAAACGUGCUGACUCAAAGGACUCAGGAUCAUAUCCACAAAAAUAUCCAUUAUCACAAACAUUGACUGUCCAUGUAUAAGUAUCUGGCAGAGAAAAGCAAUAGAAUUUCCCCAAGGCAGUGCUAUGAGAAAGGAGCACUGGGGGGAGCGUCAGGUCCUGGGAACUUGAGGGUCCUUUCAGCUGCUUGGACAUAUCCAUUACCAAAAUAUUGCUGUUUUGAUUAUGGUAUUUCUUAUAUAUGACAGGAUCUUUUCUUCUAAGGAUAUCAGUGGUCCCCAGCUCAAGUGAAAAAAUUCCUGUCUUGUGGAUAAUUACACCAGUUAGGAAGAAGUGAUGGAAAAAUAAUAGCUAAAAUGAUAAACUGGUGAAUAACGAGAAACAUACCUAAAUGUUCCAGCUAAUGUUAACAGGCUGAAAACAGAUUUAACAUUCAACAGCUGCAAGGAAAAAUGUUUGACAUCCCUGCCUCUGCAAGCCAGUUCAAGGAAAGGGAGGGUCAUUAAGCAUGAACAAUGUCAGCUAAAAGCCUCUCUCCUCCCUUGAAGGCCUGCUUGUAUACGUGACCAUACAGUACUGGUCAUUUCCCAUCUUCUUAGGCACAUA